This is a long non-coding RNA of Papaver somniferum (opium poppy), 1162 nucleotides long. RefSeq lists it as uncharacterized. Lineage: Eukaryota; Viridiplantae; Streptophyta; Magnoliopsida; Ranunculales; Papaveraceae. The transcript is spliced from 3 exons. The record is from RefSeq and is a predicted model, not a curated record.
UUAUUUAACCUUCUACUUCUUCUUCACAUCUAAUAAAACUAAAAUAAUUAGUCGAACAACCUAACAUCAUUACUUCUCCAUCGCUGGUAUCUGUACCAUCACCGUCUCUUACGCCACCACCGCAACCAACAUCAUUAGCACCACCACAACCAUCUUCCUCGUCACAACCACAACCAUCACCACCGUUUCUCCACCUCCUAAUCAAUCGAUUUAGAUCGAUUUUCACUUGAAUCAACUAUAAAACUUAAAUCUAGUGAUGAACCAACGAGAUUAAUCUCCAAAACCCAAUCUCGAGCAUCAGAAACGUUAGAUUCAUUUCGUUUUCAACUGAAUUGUACAUGAAGCUCCAAAUCUUGAACUUGCUUGAUUCACCUUUUGAACCCUGAAUUUGGAUCUCGUUCUUCUUCGGAUCGUAAUUGAUUCAGGUUUUGAUGAGGAUUGGGAUGCUAAGAGAAAAAGGUUGGCGUAGUCUACCGGACAUCCACACAAUAUAUUUUAGGCGAGAAUUAUGACGUCGAAUGAUAGAACAACUAUCAGCUCUGCUACUAUGGCCGAGUAUAUAAGAGAUGAUCAUUUUCCUUUUCCGGGCCACAUUUGUUGUUGGUCUUCCAUCUCCUGAUCCUUUGCAAACUAUAUGUAUCUCUCAAGAUGAAUUUGUGGUGUAAUGGUAUCACAACUGACUCUAGUCAGAAGAUACGUGUUCGAUUCACGUCAGGUUCAAUCAUUCGAGUAUGUCAAUUUUUGUGUCAAUUGGUUGUUGACUCUAGAUUUUGGUAUCAACUUUGGUUGUUGACCCCAUUCAUUGGGAUCAACUUCCAUUGUUGACACACAAAAAAAUGGAGUAUUUUUUUCAGUUAUUGUGUCAACUUUGGUUGUUGACUAUUCACUAGGAUCAACAUCCAUUGUUGGCACAAAAAAGCUGGAGUAUUUUUCCAGUUAGUGUCAAAUUUGGUUGUUGACUCCAUUUACUGGGAUCAACUUCCAUUGUUGACACAACUGAACUGUAAUAUUUUUCAGUCUUUUAUGUUAACUUUGGUUGUUGAAUCCAUUCACUCGGAUCAACUUCCAUUGAUGACACAACUGAACUGGAAUAUUUUUUAUUUAUUUGUGUAAACUUUGCUUGUUGACUCCAUACACUGGGAUCAACUGUAGCGCCCCCUAA